RNAcentral lists this transfer RNA (86 nucleotides) under Patescibacteria group bacterium. Its description in RNAcentral is "tRNA-Leu". It matches the Rfam family "tRNA". From Rfam's summary of the family: Transfer RNA (tRNA) molecules are approximately 80 nucleotides in length. Their secondary structure includes four short double-helical elements and three loops (D, anti-codon, and T loops). The record is from RNAcentral.
GCCGAGAUGGUGGAACUGGUAGACACGCGGGUCUCAAAAACCCGUCUCCUUUACCGGAGGUGCGAGUUCGAUUCUCGCUCUCGGCA